RNAcentral lists this ribosomal RNA (250 nucleotides) under uncultured bacterium. RNAcentral's name for it is "partial 16S ribosomal RNA". It matches the Rfam family "Bacterial small subunit ribosomal RNA", at positions 524 to 773 of the family's 1533-position model. The record is from RNAcentral.
UACGGAGGGUGCAAGCGUUAAUCGGAAUAACUGGGCGUAAAGCGCACGCAGGCGGUCGGAUAAGUCAGAUGUGAAAGCCCCGGGCUCAACCUGGGAACUGCAUUUGAAACUGUCUGACUAGAGUCUUGUAGAGGGGGGUAGAAUUCCAGGUGUAGCGGUGAAAUGCGUAGAGAUCUGGAGGAAUACCGGUGGCGAAGGCGGCCCCCUGGACAAAGACUGACGCUCAGGUGCGAAAGCGUGGGGAGCAAAC